This 253-nucleotide ribosomal RNA is filed under the name uncultured bacterium. RNAcentral's name for it is "partial 16S ribosomal RNA". It matches the Rfam family "Bacterial small subunit ribosomal RNA", at positions 524 to 776 of the family's 1533-position model. The record is from RNAcentral.
UACGUAGGGUGCAAGCGUUGUCCGGAAUUAUUGGGCGUAAAGAGCUCGUAGGCGGUUUGUCACGUCGGAUGUGAAAUCCCGGGGCUUAACCUCGGGUCUGCAUUCGAUACGGGCUGACUAGAGUUCGGUAGGGGAGACUGGAAUUCCUGGUGUAGCGGUGAAAUGCGCAGAUAUCUGGAGGAAUACCGGUGGCGAAGGCGGCGUUCUGGACUGCAACUGACACUGAUGAGCGAAAGCCAGGGGAGCAAACGGG